Long non-coding RNA from Oncorhynchus tshawytscha (Chinook salmon), 553 nucleotides. NCBI's taxonomy places the organism in Eukaryota, Metazoa, Chordata, Actinopteri, Salmoniformes, Salmonidae. The record is from Ensembl.
ACUGUAGCUGAUAACCUGAUAUCAACCUGAUACCGUAGUCAUGCUGAGGCCAUUCAUUGUCUUUAUCUUCUGUGGUGAUGUAUGAGACUAUAAAUGACUGUUAUCAAGCUGAUCAGAGUGAAGAGACUGUACAUGUAGGUUCAUUAUCAUUUCAACACAUACUCAAACCACCCACAGGUCGUAUUGGAUGGACCCACAGGUCAUAUUGAAUGGGCCCACAGGUCGUAUUGGAUGGACCCACAGGUCGUAUUGGAUGGACCCACAGGUCAUAUUGAAUGGACCCACAGGUCGUAUUGAAUGGACCCACAGGUUGUAAUGCCCACAGGUUAUAUUGAAUGGGCACACAGGUUGUAAUGAAUGGGCACACAGGUUGUAAUGAAUGGGCCCACAGGUCGUAUUGAAUGGGCCCACAGGUUGUAAUGAAUGGGCCCACAGGUCGUAUUGAAUGGGCCCACAGGUUGUAAUGAAUGGACCCACAGGUUGUAUUGAAUGGGCCCACAGGUUGUAAUGAAUGGACCCACAGGUCGUAUUGAAUGGGCCCACAGGUUGUAAU